This 21-nucleotide non-coding RNA is filed under the name Arabidopsis thaliana (thale cress). Lineage: Eukaryota; Viridiplantae; Streptophyta; Magnoliopsida; Brassicales; Brassicaceae. The record is from RNAcentral.
GUGCCGGUUGGUGGUUACAUA